This is a long non-coding RNA of Mauremys mutica (yellowpond turtle), 798 nucleotides long. RefSeq lists it as uncharacterized. The transcript is spliced from 2 exons. The record is from RefSeq and is a predicted model, not a curated record. NCBI's taxonomy places the organism in Eukaryota, Metazoa, Chordata, Testudines, Geoemydidae.
CACGUGAAACCUUAAAUUAGAGUGAAUAAAUGAAGACGCAGCACACCACUUCUGAAAGGUUGCCGACCCCUGGUGUAUUCAGACUACCCAGUUUUCAAAUAUUAAUAUUUAUUAAUGUGUUUUUUAUAAAAAGUAAAGCACCAGAUUCACAUUGUAGAUCAAAGGUCUGUGAAAUUUUAUUUUUAAAAAUGAAUGUUGGAAAAGUGCAAAUAAGGCUUCCAGAGUUGAUAAAAUGGGUGUACUUUUGUGCCCCUAAAACUUUUUGAAUAGUCUAAAUGGAUGUUUUAAAAAUAUAAAAAAGAAAAAUAUCACUCUUUUUAGCUAAGAGCAAUUUUUUGCUGGCUUGAGUUAUAACCCCCUGAAAAUAGGGGUUUAGAAUGGAAGUGCUGACACAGCCUAAACUAUAGAGCAGUGUCCUUCGUGCUGCUGUAAUAAUUGCCCGGACAGUGUUUUCUGCUUUCCUAUUACUGUGCUUUGUUUCUCUCUAAUUCACUAUUUUUUAAACUUUUUGAGAAGUUUGAUAUUAUUUAGAGCACACAAAGUGCGUGGAAUAACCUGAGGAGUAAAAUUGUUCGGCAGCAUGGACUUGUUAAUCUCAGCCUGAUCUUGUCAGUAACAGCAGAGCAGAGGGAGAGGGAGAGGAACUCCGGCUGGGGCAGCGCUCCAAAGAUUGGAGAUUAAAGAGAAAAGGAUUACAGAAUGUAGAGGAAUUUUUUUAGCAGAAGACCUGUAGCCUUGCCCUGGGAAUUAACAUUGAAGAGGCUUUUAAGGAGGGGCAGGACUGAGGUAAACAUUUUG